Alosa alosa (allis shad) is the source of this 136-nucleotide small nucleolar RNA. RefSeq annotates it as small nucleolar RNA SNORA69. The transcript has a single exon. NCBI's taxonomy places the organism in Eukaryota, Metazoa, Chordata, Actinopteri, Clupeiformes, Clupeidae. The record is from RefSeq and is a predicted model, not a curated record.
AAAGCAGGUUGCAAUUACAGUGCUUCAUUUUGUGGGAGUACUGCCAUAAUCCUGCUGAGAGGAAAGUUUACAUUACUUAAGAGGUUUUUUUUCCUGGUCACUGAAGUGGCAGGGAUGCUCUCAAGUACUGACAAUU